AGCAAGAUGAAGAGAUCUGUUUAAUGGCUGAAUUUGAUGUAGAAUUCCCAUAUCAUUAUAAUGGUCUUCAAAGUUCUCUGAUUGCU
RNAcentral lists this small nucleolar RNA (86 nucleotides) under Theobroma cacao (cacao). Its description in RNAcentral is "Small nucleolar RNA R160". It matches the Rfam family "Small nucleolar RNA R160". Rfam says of the family: snoR160 is a C/D box small nucleolar RNA, which acts as a methylation guide for 25S ribosomal RNA in plants. snoR160 has been alternatively named snoZ270 in rice. The record is from Rfam by way of RNAcentral. Lineage: Eukaryota; Viridiplantae; Streptophyta; Magnoliopsida; Malvales; Malvaceae.